GGUAGGGGCGCUUUUAUUGGUCCAAGACCAUUCGCCCGGUCCUCCGGGCGUCUCCUUGAUGAAACCAAAUAACAAAUCAGAUCGCAUGGUCUUUGUACCGGCGACUUAUCUUUCAAAUGCCUGACUUAUCAACUGACGAUGGUAGACUCUGUGUCUACCAUGGCUCCUACGGGUAACGGGGAAUCAGGGUUCGAUUCCGGAGAGGGAGCCUGAGAAACGGCUACCACAUCCAAGGAAGGCAGCAGGCACGCAAAUUACCCACUCCCGGCACGGGGAGGUAGUGACAAAAAAUAACGAUACGGGACUCGAUAUGAGGCCCCGUAAUCGGAAUGAGUACACUUUAAACCCUUAUUCAAAUAUCAAUUGGAGGGAAAGUUCUGGUGCCAGCAGCCGCGGUAAUUCCAGCUCCAAUAGCGUAUAUUAAAGUUGUUGCGGUUAAAAAGCUCGUAGUUGGUUCUGCGUCCCACGCUGUCGGUACACCUUUUGUUGGUGACACUGGCAUGCCGUGGUAUGUCCUGUCGGUGGCGGCCUUUGGUGGGCCCGACCGCUUUGGAUAAAACCUUAGCGUGAAGGUCUACCGGUCGCCGGCUACUAUCCUACCGCGGUGCUCUUCAUUGAGUGUCGAGGUAGGCCGACACGUUUACUUUGAACAAAUUUGAGUGCUUAAAGCAGGCAAAAAUCUCUGCCUGAAUAGUGGUGCAUGGAAUAAUGGAACAGGCCCUUGGUUCUAUUUUGUUGGUCUUCGGAACACAAGGAAAUGAUCAAUGUGGACAGGCGGGGGCAUUCGUAUUGCGGCGUUAGAGGUGAAAUUCUUGGAUCGUCGCAAGACGCACUAGAGCGAAAGCAUUUGCCAAGUAUGUCUUAAUUGAUCAAGAACGAAAGUUAGAGGCUCGAAGGCGAUCAGAUACCGCCCUAGUUCUAACCAUAAACGAUGCCAGCCAGCGAUCCGCCGAUGUUCCUCCGAUGACUCGGCGGGGAGCUUUCUUCGGGAAACCAAAGCUUUUGGGUUCCGGGGGAAGUAUGGUUGCAAAGCUGAAACUUAAAGGAAUUGACGGAAGGGCACCACAAGGAGUGGAGCCUGCGGCUUAAUUUGACUCAACACGGGAAACCUCACCAGGUCAAGACAUUGGAAUGAUUGACAGAUUGAUAGCUCUUUCUUGAUUCAGUGGGUAGUGGUGCAUGGCCGUUCUUAGUUGGUGGAUCGAUUUGUCUGGUUAAUUCCGAUAACGAACGAGACUCUAGCCAAUUAACUAGACGUUUCCGGUAUCGAAGCUACCGGCGAUAUAUAAUCUUCUUAGGGGGACAGGCGGCUCUUAGCCGCACGAGAUUGAGCAAUAACAGGUCUGUGAUGCCCUUAGAUGUCCUGGGCCGCACGCGCGCUACACUGAAGGAAUCAGCCUGUUCGUUCCCUUGGCCGAAAGGCCCGGGUAACCCGCUGAACCUCCUUCGUGCUAGGAAUUGGGGCUUGCAAUUGUUCCCCAUGAACGAGGAAUUCCUAGUAAGCGCGAGUCAUAAGCU
This 1518-nucleotide ribosomal RNA is filed under the name Anthocoris yangi. RNAcentral's name for it is "SSU rRNA". It matches the Rfam family "Eukaryotic small subunit ribosomal RNA", at positions 194 to 1636 of the family's 1831-position model. The record is from RNAcentral. Lineage: Eukaryota; Metazoa; Arthropoda; Insecta; Hemiptera; Anthocoridae.